RNAcentral lists this ribosomal RNA (1564 nucleotides) under Chlamydia trachomatis. RNAcentral describes it as "bacterial SSU rRNA". It matches the Rfam family "Bacterial small subunit ribosomal RNA". Lineage: Bacteria; Pseudomonadati; Chlamydiota; Chlamydiia; Chlamydiales; Chlamydiaceae. The record is from RNAcentral.
UUUUCUGAGAAUUUGAUCUUGGUUCAGAUUGAACGCUGGCGGCGUGGAUGAGGCAUGCAAGUCGAACGGAGCAAUUGUUUCGGCAAUUGUUUAGUGGCGGAAGGGUUAGUAAUGCAUAGAUAAUUUGUCCUUAACUUGGGAAUAACGGUUGGAAACGGCCGCUAAUACCGAAUGUGGCGAUAUUUGGGCAUCCGAGUAACGUUAAAGAAGGGGAUCUUAGGACCUUUCGGUUAAGGGAGAGUCUAUGUGAUAUCAGCUAGUUGGUGGGGUAAAGGCCUACCAAGGCUAUGACGUCUAGGCGGAUUGAGAGAUUGGCCGCCAACACUGGGACUGAGACACUGCCCAGACUCCUACGGGAGGCUGCAGUCGAGAAUCUUUCGCAAUGGACGGAAGUCUGACGAAGCGACGCCGCGUGUGUGAUGAAGGCUCUAGGGUUGUAAAGCACUUUCGCUUGGGAAUAAGAGAAGACGGUUAAUACCCGCUGGAUUUGAGCGUACCAGGUAAAGAAGCACCGGCUAACUCCGUGCCAGCAGCUGCGGUAAUACGGAGGGUGCUAGCGUUAAUCGGAUUUAUUGGGCGUAAAGGGCGUGUAGGCGGAAAGGUAAGUUAGUUGUCAAAGAUCGGGGCUCAACCCCGAGUCGGCAUCUAAUACUAUUUUUCUAGAGGAUAGAUGGAGAAAAGGGAAUUUCACGUGUAGCGGUGAAAUGCGUAGAUAUGUGGAAGAACACCAGUGGCGAAGGCGCUUUUCUAAUUUAUACCUGACGCUAAGGCGCGAAAGCAAGGGGAGCAAACAGGAUUAGAUACCCUGGUAGUCCUUGCCGUAAACGAUGCAUACUUGAUGUGGAUGGUCUCAACCCCAUCCGUGUCGGAGCUAACGCGUUAAGUAUGCCGCCUGAGGAGUACACUCGCAAGGGUGAAACUCAAAAGAAUUGACGGGGGCCCGCACAAGCAGUGGAGCAUGUGGUUUAAUUCGAUGCAACGCGAAGGACCUUACCUGGGUUUGACAUGUAUAUGACCGCGGCAGAAAUGUCGUUUUCCGCAAGGACAUAUACACAGGUGCUGCAUGGCUGUCGUCAGCUCGUGCCGUGAGGUGUUGGGUUAAGUCCCGCAACGAGCGCAACCCUUAUCGUUAGUUGCCAGCACUUAGGGUGGGAACUCUAACGAGACUGCCUGGGUUAACCAGGAGGAAGGCGAGGAUGACGUCAAGUCAGCAUGGCCCUUAUGCCCAGGGCGACACACGUGCUACAAUGGCCAGUACAGAAGGUAGCAAGAUCGUGAGAUGGAGCAAAUCCUCAAAGCUGGCCCCAGUUCGGAUUGUAGUCUGCAACUCGACUACAUGAAGUCGGAAUUGCUAGUAAUGGCGUGUCAGCCAUAACGCCGUGAAUACGUUCCCGGGCCUUGUACACACCGCCCGUCACAUCAUGGGAGUUGGUUUUACCUUAAGUCGUUGACUCAACCCGCAAGGGAGAGAGGCGCCCAAGGUGAGGCUGAUGACUAGGAUGAAGUCGUAACAAGGUAGCCCUACCGGAAGGUGGGGCUGGAUCACCUCCUUUUAAGGAUAAGG